This is a long non-coding RNA of Zingiber officinale, 1144 nucleotides long. RefSeq lists it as uncharacterized. The record is from RefSeq and is a predicted model, not a curated record. Lineage: Eukaryota; Viridiplantae; Streptophyta; Magnoliopsida; Zingiberales; Zingiberaceae. The transcript has 4 exons.
CACCCGCGCCCUAAGCCUCUCGACGCCUCUCCCUUCUCCCCUCUUGCCCGACGCCACCUCUCCCUCACGCGGCAUGGAGCGCUGAUCGCCUUCUCCUUUUCCCCAACCGGCGCCGUCUCGUUUCCUCUCCUCCCCUUUCCUCUUCUUCCUCACGAGUUAGCCCUAAUCUCCACCAAAUCAUCUCCUUCCCUUUCCUCCUCCGAUCGCCGGCCAAUCUGCCACAAUCCUCUCUGUGCCACGUUGCUGUACAAGGGCUGAUCUGUAGCCAAGUGCAGGAGAUCGCCGUCACCCUCUUCCAUCGUUGCUGCCGCGAACUUUGGUGCUUGCUGUGUCGCCUUGUUACCAUUGCUUGAUCGCUGCCACUUGAUCGAGCCAGUGUCACCAGAUCGCCGGCGCGGGUGGGCGUUCAGGGCUCCGAGGGUAAGCUAGCCUUGACUGAUCCUUCUUCUCUUGACCUUUCUCUGACCCGUGCCCUAGUCUCCCCACAUCGCGUCACCCCUUUCUUCUUUUCAAUCCACCCUGCCGGGAGCCAGGACAGAUCAGGGGUCGAUGCCGUGGCUUUAGACUACUGUGUCGCUAUUCGUUGGUUUCCUAACGCAGGUUGUGGUAUAGCCGUUGAUCUCCACUCACUCGGAAUUGGAAGAUCUAAAGCUACAGCGAUUACACCUUGUUGAAUCCCGACCAUUAUAGUUAGUCAGCUGAUUUUGGAGGUGGCAAGUGCUUCCGGCUAGAAUUUCAACAGCUGCGUUUUCUGGCCGUGGAUCAAUAGGAGUGGUUGAGUUGAGGACAUUGAUUCGAGACGGGUGUCUCGAUGUAGGAUUUCUGGUCACGAUCGACUGAUAAAGGUUGAGGCCGUGAGGAGGUUCCAAUUGCUAGUCCCAUUGUCACAAAAAUUUUCGUUUUGGUCUUUUGGUUUCCUGUUUAUUCGCUUAAAAGCUAUGUUCCAGACUUGUAUUGGUUUUUGCACCCUGGAUUUUGUAUGUUUUUUCUUAAGGCAUUGGACUGGUUAGACUUCCUGCUUGCUCGGUGGGUUGUUAUUUGGUAUGUUUUGCUACGUGCCUGCCGGACGACAGAAGAGGUAAGUUUGGAUGUUUGUUUUCGAUUUUUUAUAUUGUGAUGACAGCCGGAGGCUGUACUAUAUAAA